Molecule: ribosomal RNA, 253 nt
Filed under: uncultured bacterium
Lineage: Bacteria
Description: partial 16S ribosomal RNA
Rfam family: Bacterial small subunit ribosomal RNA
Source: RNAcentral
UACGUAGGGGGCAAGCGUUGUCCGGAUUCAUUGGGCGUAAAGAGCGUGUAGGCGGUCAGGUAGGUCGGUUGUGAAAACUGGAGGCUCAACCUUCAGACGUCGACCGAAACCCCCUGGCUAGAGUCCGGGAGAGGAGAGUGGAAUUCCUGGUGUAGCGGUGGAAUGCGCAGAUAUCAGGAAGAACACCCGUGGCGAAAGCGGCUCUCUGGAACGGUACUGACGCUGAGACGAGAAAGCGUGGGGAGCGAACAGG